This 618-nucleotide ribosomal RNA is filed under the name uncultured bacterium. RNAcentral describes it as "bacterial SSU rRNA". It matches the Rfam family "Bacterial small subunit ribosomal RNA", at positions 48 to 646 of the family's 1533-position model. The record is from RNAcentral.
GCUAUACAUGCAAGUCGAGCGGACCGAAAAGAAGCUUGCUUCUAUUCGGUUAGCGGCGGACGGGUGAGUAACACGUGGGCAACCUGCCCGCAAGACCGGGAUAACUCCGGGAAACCGGAGCUAAUACCGGAUAACACCGAAGACCGCAUGGUCUUGGGUUGAAAGGCGGCGCAAGCUGCCACUUGCGGAUGGGCCCGCGGCGCAUUAGCUAGUUGGUGAGGUAACGGCUCACCAAGGCGACGAUGCGUAGCCGGCCUGAGAGGGUGACCGGCCACACUGGGACUGAGACACGGCCCAGACUCCUACGGGAGGCAGCAGUAGGGAAUCUUCCGCAAUGGGCGAAAGCCUGACGGAGCGACGCCGCGUGAGCGAAGAAGGCCUUCGGGUCGUAAAGCUCUGUUGUGAGGGACGAAGGAGCGCCGUUUGAAGAAGGCGGCGCGGUGACGGUACCUCACGAGGAAGCCCCGGCUAACUACGUGCCAGCAGCCGCGGUAAUACGUAGGGGGCGAGCGUUGUCCGGAAUUAUUGGGCGUAAAGCGCGCGCAGGCGGUCCCUUAAGUCUGAUGUGAAAGCCCACGGCUCAACCGUGGAGGGUCAUUGGAGACUGGGGGACUUGAG